RNAcentral lists this long non-coding RNA (1138 nucleotides) under Bos indicus x Bos taurus (hybrid cattle). RNAcentral's name for it is "lncRNA (ENSBIXG00000017577.1)". The record is from RNAcentral. Lineage: Eukaryota; Metazoa; Chordata; Mammalia; Artiodactyla; Bovidae.
CCUAUCCCUUUGACUGGACCCUAAACCUACUUUUUUAAAAAAAGAGAAAGAGAUCCAGAAAGAGACGGACCCACUUUAGGCAUUUCAGACUUCCCCCUGGAACCAAAUACCCCAUUGGCCUUCCUCGCUGUUACCAGGAGGGGAAUGGGUAGUUUGCACCUCACCCCCCCUCCAGGCUCUCCCGCCUUUGGGACAUUUUGGGUGCCACUUAGGAGAGCGAGAACUAUGGAGUGUGUGUGGCUCAGGGUGGGGCCACAGGUUGGGAGUGGGUAGGGCCUAUUGUCUCCCUGGGCACCAGUCCACAGCCACAGGCAGGCUUAGAGAAGGAGAGACAAAGGAGAAAAUGGAAGAGCACAAAGGCAGCAAGGAAUGAAAGGAAAACUGCGGAAGAAAAGCCCACGUGGGAGAGAGAUCUGGAGCUGACCGGGGAGCAGGUGAGAGUCUGAAUUGCCCUCAUUUCCCUUCCUGCUCAGCCUGGUGGGGAAGACGCUGGGAAGGGGAACACGGCGUCCCUGCCCUCCUGCUACAAUUAGCCGAGCCUUUCAUUCUCCCUCUACAAAGAGGAGAGAGCAAAUCAAAAGAAGAUAAAAGUGCACGUCCCACAAAAGACAUCAAGAUGAGGGGGAAGGAAGGGAGGGUGGUGGGAAAGAGAGGCAGAGGCAGAGAGAAAGCCCUGCGGCCCAAACAAAAGCCUAAACCCAGCCGAUCCCAAGGAUCAGACAGUGGAGACACAAGGACAGGAAGAGAGCAGGCUGCGUGGGGAUCAGCAGCCCUGUCAAGCCAAGGAGGAGAGGAAAUGAAGGAAGAUAAAAUACCUAUGUGAAUUAUGUGAAUGGCCAGGGAAGAGGGUGGGGAGGGACCCCAGAUGGAGUCAGGACAAAAGCAUGAAAAGACAAGAUUGCCACCAUCCAUGAGCUACUCCACCCCAGGGAAAGCAAAGAGGCACUGGAGAUAAAGGCUGAGAGAGAAAGGUAGAAAGGGAGGGAGCUCAGCGCUGGUGGCAGGACUGAAAGCGUGGGGGGACAAUGGUGUGCAUUACCCAUGGAGGUCAACCGAGGUGAAGAGGUAAUCAGGGUCCUGGCCUGUAUUUGCUGCAAGAAAUCCUACCUGGUUGUAUGUCUUGCAUUUGAAUCAUAAC